AACGUAGGGGACAAGCGUUAUCCGGAUUUACUGGGCGUAAAGCGCCCGUAGGCGGCUUUUUAAGUUGGACGUGAAAGCUCCCGGCUUAACUGGGAGAGGCCGUUCAAAACUGAGAGGCUAGAGUGAGGCAGAGGAGCGCGGAAUUCCCGGUGUAGUGGUGGAAUGCGUAGAUAUCGGGAGGAACACCAGUGGCGAAAGCGGCGCUCUGGGCCUAAACUGACGCUGAGGGGCGAAAGCGUGGGGAGCGAUCCGG
This 253-nucleotide ribosomal RNA is filed under the name uncultured bacterium. RNAcentral's name for it is "partial 16S ribosomal RNA". It matches the Rfam family "Bacterial small subunit ribosomal RNA", at positions 524 to 776 of the family's 1533-position model. The record is from RNAcentral.